UUUGACGUUUCGAAAAUGAACAGCUCCUGCCUGGUUUAUUUUACUCAGCCGUGGUGAAAUUCAAUUUUGUUGUGAGGUAGCAUGCAUCAGUUGGUACGUAUUUCUACCAAUUCCUUGUACCGCGCUAAAAGGGUAUAUUAUUCAUACACACAGUGGCGCCUCUAACUCAAAAAACGUUUUUUUGUAGAUAUCGGCGCCAAUUCGUUCGGGCGCCACACUUACCCAAAGUGUCCAUACUGAAAAGGUAGCACUACAUACACACGCGCGUACUAAAAACAUAUAUUACAACCAUAUAAGCAGGUGUCUAACCUUGCAUAUUGUAAAACGUAACAGCCGGAUUUGCUUAGCUAAAGGUGACUCCAACACAAAAACGACUGACUUGGACACUUUUUUUUUAAAUAUUUGUUUCAGCCGGUGACACCGAGUGUAGGGUUUUUUUUGUACUGUUCUUCUUCCCUGCUUUUUUUGACACAAUUCGUAACAGUGAUACCAUACAGACAAUCAAUAUAAUUCUUAAUUUAUGGUCCAUUUUCAUUUUCUUCGAGAAAAUUUUCUGGAAAAUGUAGCACAAAUUUACAUUGUACAUCGGUAUAGAAAACGUAAAACAAUAUUUUAUUUGCGCGAUUGAUUUAACUACGACAAAAAUGGUAAAUUCUAUUUUAGCAGUAAUGAGUUCUCUUCUUUACACAAAAACAAUAAUUGUACAAACUUUCGUUUUGGUUUCAAUCACAUUUGAAUCAAUUAAAAAAAAAAAAAAAAAUUAAAAAUCACAAAAUAAGAAAAUAUCAUUCAAAGAACGUGAACGUAAGAAAAAUGGAUUAAAUGAAAAUAUCACAUCUUGCAUAUUAAUUCCCAAAGACAAUAAUCGAAAGUGAAGAUAAAUUCGGUUGCUAAAAUUUUAAAAUUUUUCGUUUUUUUUUUUGUUUCAUCAACUUAAGAGAAAAAAAAUCAUUAAAAAUCAACAUGGAAAAGGACAUUCAAUCUUCAAUUUCGAUUUAUUGUAGCUUAGAGUGCCUCUACUAUUAAAUUAAAUUAAACACAAGACUUAUAUAUAAAAAAAAAUUAUUGAACAUAAAAAAGACACACACACACGCAUUGCGCAUUAAUAAUAUUUCCAAAAAAGAAAAGAAAUGAAAAGAUGAAAUUUUAUAUAUUAUGUAUAUGAACUUGGCAUUGAACCCAAUGAAAACGAUUAUAAAAAAAGUAGAAAAUUAUAUGAAAAAAAAACUGAAGAACUUACAAUAUACUUAACAAUGGAUAAAAAGUAAAGGAUAAAGUUAUGGAAAAAAAACGUUUAAAAAGAAAAUUUAUAAAGGAAAGUAGUUUUAAUUUACACGUUAAUGUAUUGCUUCACUACCAGAGGUAUGGCCGUGUUUAGACACCCAAUAUCACCAAUAAAUUUAAUUAAAAAAAAAAUUGCAACUUUCAUUAGAACAUAACUUUCCAUUGAGCGGAUAUGAAUUGUUUUACUUUCUAAAUAAUAAAAAAAAAAGAAUCAUUAACUACCGCUAACGUGGUGACGAGACAAAAAAAAAACAAUUGUACUGAACACCUUAAUCUCCUGCAUUUAGAUCCUUUACACAUAUCCUUCAUCUCACUGACAGCAAUCCACACACGAAACACACGGAAACACCCAUUUAUAUACACACACACAAUUCACAAUAAAGUAAAUUUUUGUAUAGACAAAAGUGCAAAAGAAAAAAAAUAUAAAAAAAAAAUUAAAAGCUCAGGGCAUCUCAAAUUCUUCCAUAUACAAAGCAAAAUGAAAUGAAAAAUAUGCAAUAGAACCAUAGGUUUUUACAGUUUAUGAAAAGAGAAAAAAAAGAGAAAAAAAGUUACAACAAAUUCAAUUCAUUGAAACAAAAUAGAUCAAUUUUAUUGUUACAAUAUUUUUAUUUACAGAAAUAAUAUACAAAUUCAGUUGAAACAAUUAACCAAUUUACUGAUCACCAGAAUAUACAACAAAAUACAAUUCCAUUAGUGUUCUUACCACAAAACAUUUUUUUUUUCUUUUUGAUAAAUGAAAAUAAUUAAAGAAAAAAACUUAAGGAAGAAAUCGUAACGAGAGAAUGAAAUUUUGACCGAGCACGAAAAGUUACGAAAAGAAAGUGGUGUCUGAAAUGCAAUUAUACCUGGGACCGGGUAAUGUCUUAUACCUACUUGGAGGACUCUCGUCAUUUCGUGGCUUUGUCCCAGCUUUGCAUCAUGUAAUUUUUUGUUAGUGUAUAGGCUACAAAAGCGAAAUAAAUCGUCCAUAACCAAUACACACACAACUAUGACGUCACAUUAGGAUUUUGUGAACCGUAUUCACUUCAACAGAUGCCAUAUCUGGUCGAUACAACGAAAAGGGAUUGUGAGAAUGCAAAUGCUGACCGUAAGUUGAAGCGUUUCUUGACUGAACCGAACUAUAAACAAAUUCAAAUUACGAGUGUACGCUUAAAGCGUUGAAAGAAGUGCUGGAAGCACUCAUUCAUCUAAAUGGUUUAAAUAAAUUUGUUCUCAUUUUCACCUUUUGUCAGCAAUUUUCCCAUUGCUGAAUUUUCAGAUUUUUUCAAGUUCACCAUGAACAAACUAGUAACAGCAUGCCAAAAUUUAUUUAGAAGAGAAAAGUAACUAUACCUUAUCCAUUGACCACGAUGGCAUAAAUGUUUUCUGUAGCUCAAAUCUUUGUGUCGAAUCACUCGAACCUAUGUUACUCGACAUCAGCGUCAGAUUUACAGUGAUACACAUACCUUUUGUGAACGAAACGGUGAACUACUAAAAAUCAUGAAUCAUUUGUUAUUGACAGCGAUGCUUUCAGAAAAUGAAAUGAAAGAUUUAAUACGAUUCCAUUUGUCGCAUAAAGAUCUAAAUACACUGUCAGUAGAUAGGCUUGAAAACAAAAUCCAGUUUACCAGAAAUUCUCACAUCUAUCAAAAUUCAGAGCAAAUAAACGUGUGCUAAAUACAUUCCUUAUCUUAAUUACGAACAUUGUUAAACUUGUGUGAUUUCUUUGUUUAAUUCCCCUUGAUCUUUUCGUUUCGCCGAAAAAUUAAUUAGAUGGAGCUGGAAAAUUAAACACGUGGACAUAUAAAGAUUGUAUGCUUCAUUUUUCAACAUUUUUCGUUCUUCAUACAAGAAAAAUUAAUGAAAAUUCAGACAACUUUACUUCGAGAGCAAGGGAUUUUUGAAAGAUGCAUUUCCUCUUUACGAAAUCUUUUACUUCAUUCGUUUUGUCAAACUUUACCAUAAUAUUUGAUGUCGAUAGGUGUUGAGUAGGCGUUUCCAAAAAUGUAAUAUUUUUGGGAAGUUGCAAGUAAAUUUUACAGGAAGUCAUGAGUCCGGGCAUAAUAGACUUUCACAAUUUACCAACUUCUUUUUUGAUAACUUUUCUUGUUGAUUUUUUUUUUUCUAAAAUUAGGACAAAAACCUCGACAAACUUAAUUUUAAUUUGAUUUUACCUCUGACAAACCCUAUUCAUCAAUAUUAACAGUAUAACAGAAAUAAUAACCACAAACAUAAUUUGAGUGCCAAGCUAAAUAAUUCAAAAAAAAGAAGAAAAUCUCAUACUAUGAGUCACUUUUUUUGGUUAAGUAAUUGUUUAAAUAAAAACGAGAGGAAGACGAAGAAGAAGAAGAAGAUAAAUCAGAGAGUCAGAGAAUAAGAGAAAAUAUUUAAUUUCAACAACAAAGCAAAUAUGUAUAAAAGUGGAUAUAGAACCAAUUUUUUAUAGUUUUUAUACAUAAAAUUAAGCAUUAAAAACUAUAAUAGAAAAAAGUAAACAUUAAUUUGCAGAAAAAAAAUUAAAUGAAAAACAUAAAUUAAAAAAAAAUAAUAAAAAUUAAGAAAAACAAAUAAAAAUAUUAAUGUACACUGUAGUGCCUACCCCAAAAAAAAUUAAUAAAAAAUUGAAAAAAAUCUUAGAAGCUAAUGAAAGAGAAAAAAAUCAUUGCGAUGGGAGUCAUUAUUUCGAUUUCGGUGUCAAUAUCAGUUCUUUUCAAUUUCUUGUUCAGACGCUUUUAAACGACAAAGAACGCAAAUUAUUAUGAAA
This is a long non-coding RNA of Bradysia coprophila, 4030 nucleotides long. The record is from RefSeq and is a predicted model, not a curated record. Lineage: Eukaryota; Metazoa; Arthropoda; Insecta; Diptera; Sciaridae.